Molecule: microRNA precursor, 102 nt
Filed under: Marmota monax (woodchuck)
Lineage: Eukaryota; Metazoa; Chordata; Mammalia; Rodentia; Sciuridae
Rfam family: mir-193 microRNA precursor family (bases 15-89)
Source: RNAcentral
UUCCGAGGCGGUGGGCCCAGAAUCGGGGUUUUGAGGGCGAGAUGUGUUUAUGUUUUAUCCAACUGGCCCACAAAGUCCCGCUUUUGGGGUCAUGCUCUGCAG